CCUAACACAUGCAAGUCGAGCGGUAGCACAGAGAGCUUGCUCUCGGGUGACGAGCGGCGGACGGGUGAGUAAUGUCUGGGAAACUGCCUGAUGGAGGGGGAUAACUACUGGAAACGGUAGCUAAUACCGCAUAACGUCGCAAGACCAAAGUGGGGGACCUUCGGGCCUCAUGCCAUCAGAUGUGCCCAGAUGGGAUUAGCUAGUAGGUGGGGUAACGGCUCACCUAGGCGACGAUCCCUAGCUGGUCUGAGAGGAUGACCAGCCACACUGGAACUGAGACACGGUCCAGACUCCUACGGGAGGCAGCAGUGGGGAAUAUUGCACAAUGGGCGCAAGCCUGAUGCAGCCAUGCCGCGUGUGUGAAGAAGGCCU
This 372-nucleotide ribosomal RNA is filed under the name Klebsiella pneumoniae. RNAcentral's name for it is "bacterial SSU rRNA". It matches the Rfam family "Bacterial small subunit ribosomal RNA", at positions 47 to 417 of the family's 1533-position model. The record is from RNAcentral. Lineage: Bacteria; Pseudomonadati; Pseudomonadota; Gammaproteobacteria; Enterobacterales; Enterobacteriaceae.